This 1174-nucleotide long non-coding RNA is filed under the name Nicotiana benthamiana. RNAcentral's name for it is "long non-coding RNA (NBEN_LNC035304)". Lineage: Eukaryota; Viridiplantae; Streptophyta; Magnoliopsida; Solanales; Solanaceae. The record is from RNAcentral.
CCAGAAAUUCUUUGAUAUCGUCAAGCUAGGUGAAUGAAUUGAGGAGGGAAUUAAGAAUGUAUGGUUACUAAUAUUGAAGCAUUGUAGGCCACCAACAAGGCUUUACAGUCUUGUGGAACGUCCAAGAAGAAGGAUGUGAGUGCCGUAAUGGUCACACAAGAAGCCAAAUCACCACUAAAAUACCACACUUACCCGUCACCCCCACCUACAUAUCAGCCUAUCCCGAAUUACCAAGUACCCGUGCCCUCUUACCAAAAUACACCAUCCGUUUACCAAUCAUCUCCACCUCCCACAUAUCAACCCACCUUACCCAGAUACUCUCAACCUGCACCUUUAUACCAAGCUUAUAAUACCCAACCCUCUCACUACCAAUCACCUCCCACUCGCCAAAAUUUCCCUAGAUCCAGGACAAAUGUUGACCGCAGACCUCCCAGACAAUACACGACAAUCACUGAGCCCAUUGACCAGCUAUAUGAGAGGCUUAUAACUCUCCUUUAUCCCUGCCAUAACUCCAGAAAAUCCUUACCAGUGGGUCAACCCUAAUAAGACCUGUGCGUACCACUCCGACAUGAAGGGACAUACAGUCGAUGAGUGCCGCUCAUUGAAGGAUACGAUUCAAACCCUGAUAGACAAUAAGGUCAUCAUAGCAAAUGAGCAUGCUCCUAAUGUUCACAAUAACCCUCUGCCUGACUACAAGGAUGGAGACAUCCACAUGAUCAAGAUCAAAGAUGACUAGGACCCCAAAGAGUCGAUAGGAUUGAUUGUUGAGGGUGCUCAGCCAAAGAAACCAGCAGUCACGCUUAAACCAAUUGUUGUGCAGAAUCAACCCUCCAAGGGCGAUGAAAUGUAUACCUCUCGAAUUUGAAGCACCUUCUUCUGCAAAGGCAUCCAGACCAAUUGAGGUUGAGUUUGGAGUUCCAAAAGCAUCUAUGACCUUUGAAGUUGUUGUGAGCGUACCUGUUCAUGUAGCAAUGUCAGACAUAACACCAUUCCACUCAAAUGUCAUACCAUGGGAUUACACAGCUGAAGCCAAGAGGAUAGGGAAAACUAAGACAUGAGAAGAAACUGUUGCACAGGGUAUGACCAGAACAUGCAGAGUGUAUACUCCAGAACAUUUAGCUGAGUCCAGUAAGCAAGCCUCUAGACCGCUUAUUGAAACUGGACCUGAUGAUCU